This 447-nucleotide ribosomal RNA is filed under the name uncultured bacterium. RNAcentral's name for it is "bacterial SSU rRNA". It matches the Rfam family "Bacterial small subunit ribosomal RNA", at positions 355 to 825 of the family's 1533-position model. The record is from RNAcentral.
UGGGGAAUCUUGGACAAUGGGCACAAGCCUGAUCCAGCCAUGCCGCGUGAGUGAAGAAGGCCUUCGGGUUGUAAAGCUCUUUUGUCAGGGACGAUAAUGACGGUACCUGAAGAAUAAGCCCCGGCAAACUUCGUGCCAGCAGCCGCGGUAAUACGAAGGGGGCUAGCGUUGUUCGGAAUUACUGGGCGUAAAGCGCACGUAGGCUGAUUGUUAAGUCAGGGGUGAAAUCCCAGAGCUCAACUCUGGAACUGCCCUUGAUACUGGCAAUCUCGAGUCCGGAAGAGGUUAGUGGAAUUCCCAUUGUAGAGGUGAAAUUCGUAGAUAUUCGGAAGAACACCAGUGGCGAAGGCGACUCACUGGACAAGUAUUGACGCUGAGGUACGAAAGCGUGGGGAGCAAACAGGAUUAGAUACCCCAGUAGUCCCUGAGCGGGCUGGCAAGGCGCAU